UUUCCGUAGGUGAACCUGCGAAAGGAUCAUUAUCGUACAAAAUGUGAGGGGCAUGCGAGGGCUGUCGCUGACCCAAAAGUUGUGCACGCCCGAGUGUGUCCUCUUGCAUAAUAAUCCAUCUCACCCUUUGUGCAUCACCGCGUGGGCACCCUUCGGGAUCAUCUCGGAGGGGGGCUCGCGUUUUCACACAAACCCCCCUUUUAAAAGUGUAGAAUGACCACAUUUAUGCAAUCAAUACAACUUUCAACAACGGAUCUCUUGGCUCUC
Molecule: unclassified non-coding RNA, 267 nt
Filed under: plant metagenome
Description: partial contains small subunit ribosomal RNA, internal transcribed spacer 1, and 5.8S ribosomal RNA
Source: RNAcentral